ACGCACGUAGCAAUACGUGAGUGGCGGACGGGUGAGUAACGCGUGAGAAUCUAGCUUCAGGUCGGGGACAACAGAGGGAAACCGCUGCUAAUACCGGAUAUGCCGAAAGGUGAAAGAUUAAUUGCCUGAAGAUGAGCUCGCGUCUGAUUAGCUAGUUGGAGAGGUAAAAGCUCACUAAGGCGACGAUCAGUAGCUGGUCUGAGAGGACGAUCAGCCACACUGGGACUGAGACACGGCCCAGACUCCUACGGGAGGCAGCAGUGGGGAAUUUUCCGCAAUGGGCGAAAGCCUGACGGAGCAAUACCGCGUGAGGGAGGAAGACUCUUGGGUUGUAAACCUCUUUUCUUAGGGAAGAAGCUCUGACGGUACCUAAGGAAUAAGCAUCGGCUAACUCCGUGCCAGCAGCCGCGGUAAUACGGAGGAUGCAAGCGUUAUCCGGAAUCAUUGGGCGUAAAGCGUCCGUAGGUGGCAGUUCAAGUCUGCUGUUAAAGGCUGGGGCUUAACCCCAGACAGGCAGUGGAAACUGAACAGCUAGAGUGUGGUAGGGGUAGAGGGAAUUCCCGGUGUAG
This 569-nucleotide ribosomal RNA is filed under the name uncultured cyanobacterium. RNAcentral describes it as "bacterial SSU rRNA". It matches the Rfam family "Bacterial small subunit ribosomal RNA", at positions 66 to 678 of the family's 1533-position model. The record is from RNAcentral. Lineage: Bacteria; Bacillati; Cyanobacteriota.